AUUCUUUUAGUAUAAUUAGUACAGCUGACUUCCAAUUAGCUAGUUUCGACAAUACUCGAAAAAGAAUA
RNAcentral lists this transfer RNA (68 nucleotides) under Trachypithecus shortridgei (Shortridge's langur). RNAcentral's name for it is "tRNA-Gly". Lineage: Eukaryota; Metazoa; Chordata; Mammalia; Primates; Cercopithecidae. The record is from RNAcentral.